RNAcentral lists this ribosomal RNA (253 nucleotides) under uncultured bacterium. RNAcentral describes it as "partial 16S ribosomal RNA". It matches the Rfam family "Bacterial small subunit ribosomal RNA", at positions 524 to 776 of the family's 1533-position model. The record is from RNAcentral.
UACAUAGGGUUCAAGCGUUGUUCGGAUUUAUUGGGCGUAAAGGGUGCGUAGGCGGCUCUGUAAGUCGGGUGUGAAAUUUCGGAGCUUAACUCCGAAACUGCAUUCGAUACUGCGGUGCUUGAGGACUGGAGAGGAGACUGGAAUUCAUGGUGUAGCAGUGAAAUGCGUAGAGAUCAUGAGGAAGACCAGUGGCGAAGGCGGGUCUCUGGACAGUUCCUGACACUGAGGCACGAAAGCCAGGGGAGCAAACGGG